Molecule: ribosomal RNA, 929 nt
Filed under: uncultured delta proteobacterium
Lineage: Bacteria; Deltaproteobacteria
Description: bacterial SSU rRNA
Rfam family: Bacterial small subunit ribosomal RNA
Source: RNAcentral
AGAGUUUGAUCCUGGCUCAGAACGAACGCUGGCGGCGUGCCUAACACAUGCAAGUCGAACGUGAAAGUCCUUCGGGAUGAGUAAAGUGGCGCACGGGUGAGUAAUGCGUAGAUAAUCUGCCUGAUGAUCUGGGAUAACAUCUCGAAAGGGGUGCUAAUACCGGAUAAGCCCACGGGCUCUUCGGAGCUUGCGGGAAAANGGGGGGGACCUUCGGGCCUUCUGUCAUCAGAUGAGUCUACGUACCAUUAGCUAGUUGGUAGGGUAAAGGCCUACCAAGGCGACGAUGGUUAGCUGGUCUGAGAGGAUGAUCAGCCACACUGGGACUGAGACACGGUCCAGACUCCUACGGGAGGCAGCAGUGGGGAAUUUUGCGCAAUGGGGGAAACCCUGACGCAGCAACGCCGCGUGAGUGAUGAAGGCCUUCGGGUCGUAAAGCUCUGUCAGAGGGAAAGAAAUGUGGGGCGCUAAUACCGUUACCACUUGACGGUACCCUCAAAGGAAGCACCGGCUAACUCCGUGCCAGCAGCCGCGGUAAUACGGAGGGUGCGAGCGUUGUUCGGAAUUAUUGGGCGUAAAGCGCGUGUAGGCGGUUUUAUAAGUCUGAUGUGAAAGCCCCGGGCUCAACCUGGGAAGUGCAUUGGAUACUGUAAGACUUGAGUACGGGAGAGGGCAGUGGAAUUCCUAGUGUAGGAGUGAAAUCCGUAGAUAUUAGGAGGAACACCGGUGGCGAAGGCGGCUGCCUGGACCGAUACUGACGCUGAGACGCGAAAGCGUGGGUAGCAAACAGGAUUAGAUACCCUGGUAGUCCACGCCGUAAACGAUGAGUACUAGGUGUUGCGGGUAUUGACCCCUGCAGUGCCGCAGCUAACGCAUUAAGUACUCCGCCUGGGAAGUACGGUCGCAAGACUAAAACUCAAAUGAAUUGACGG